RNAcentral lists this non-coding RNA (390 nucleotides) under Clostridiaceae bacterium. RNAcentral describes it as "T-box sequence". It matches the Rfam family "T-box leader". From Rfam's summary of the family: Uncharged tRNA acts as the effector for transcription antitermination of genes in the T-box leader family. T-boxes are found upstream of many aminoacyl-tRNA synthetase genes and some amino acid biosynthetic genes usually in Gram-positive bacteria. The record is from RNAcentral. Lineage: Bacteria; Bacillati; Bacillota; Clostridia; Eubacteriales; Clostridiaceae.
UUAACUCCAAAGACGGGGAGGAGUAAGGAAUAUACGCUCCUAAGAGAGGGGAAUUCUUAGGCUGAGAAAUUCCCUGGCAGCGGUAUCCCGAAGGUAGCCCCUGAGGAAUGAAAUUGAAUGUAUCUGGCAUAGCCAGCUAAGGCUAAGGCUAAGGCUAAGGCUAAGGCUAAGGUUAAGGUUAAGGUUAAGGUUAAGGUUAAGGUUAAGAUAACUAUAUUUUUUAGUUUUUUUCUUAAUCUUAACCUAGCGCAGCGAAACCUUUACCUUUUGUUGGCUUUGCCAACAAACUGUAGUUUUCAUCGGGUUAGCCCGUUAUAGCUUUAGUAAGAGUCACACUAAUAGUGUGAAAUUAAGGUGGUACCGCGGAAGAAUGCCUCUUUCGUCCUUGGG